Molecule: ribosomal RNA, 497 nt
Filed under: uncultured bacterium
Lineage: Bacteria
Description: partial 16S ribosomal RNA
Rfam family: Bacterial small subunit ribosomal RNA
Source: RNAcentral
GAUGAACGCUGGCGGCGUGCCUAAUACAUGCAAGUCGAGCGAACAGACGAGGAGCUUGCUCCUCUGACGUUAGCGGCGGACGGGUGAGUAACACGUGGAUAACCUACCUAUAAGACUGGGAUAACUUCGGGAAACCGGAGCUAAUACCGGAUAAUAUAUUGAACCGCAUGGUUCAAUAGUGAAAGACGGUUUUGCUGUCACUUAUAGAUGGAUCCGCGCCGCAUUAGCUAGUUGGUAAGGUAACGGCUUACCAAGGCAACGAUGCGUAGCCGACCUGAGAGGGUGAUCGGCCACACUGGAACUGAAACACGGUCCAGACUCCUAAGGGAGGCAGCAGUAGGGAAUCUUCCGCAAUGGGCGAAAGCCUGACGGAGCAACGCCGCGUGAGUGAUGAAGGUCUUCGGAUCGUAAAACUCUGUUAUUAGGGAAGAACAAAUGUGUAAGUAACUAUGCACGUCUUGACGGUACCUAAUCAGAAAGCCACGGCUAACUACGUG